GUCGAGGGGCAGCAUGAAAGUUUGCUUGCAAACUUUUGAUGGCGACCGGCGCACGGGUGAGUAACACGUAUCCAACCUGCCUCAUACUCGGGGAUAGCCUUUCGAAAGAAAGAUUAAUACCCGAUGUCAUAGUCCUACCGCAUGAUGGGAUUAUUAAAGAAUUUCGGUAUGGGAUGGGGAUGCGUUCCAUUAGUUAGUUGGCGGGGUAACGGCCCACCAAGACGACGAUGGAUAGGGGUUCUGAGAGGAAGGUCCCCCACAUUGGAACUGAGACACGGUCCAAACUCCUACGGGAGGCAGCAGCUAAGAAUAUUGGGCAAUGGAGGAAACUCUGACCCAGCCAUGCCGCGUGAAUGAAGAAGGCCUUCGGGUUGUAAAGUUCUUUUAGUCGUGAAGAUGAUGACAGUAGCGACAGAAAAAGCAUCGGCUAACUCCGUGCCAGCAGCCGCGGUAAUACGGAGGAUGCGAGCGUUAUCCGGAUUUAUUGGGUUUAAAGGGUGCGUAGGCGGAAUAUCAAGUCAGCGGUAAAAAUUCGGGGCUCAACCCCGUCGUGCCGUUGAAACUGAUGUUCUUGAGUGGGCGAGAAGUAUGCGGAAUGCGUGGUGUAGCGGUGAAAUGCAUAGAUAUCACGCAGAACUCCGAUUGCGAAGGCAGCAUACCGGCGCCCAACUGACGCUGAAGCACGAAAGCGUGGGUAUCGAACAGGAUUAGAUACCCUGGUAGUCCACGCAGUAAACGAUGAAUGCUAAUUGUCCGGAGGGAUUGACCUCUGGGUGAUACAGCGAAAGCGUCAAGCAUUC
This 800-nucleotide ribosomal RNA is filed under the name uncultured bacterium. Its description in RNAcentral is "bacterial SSU rRNA". It matches the Rfam family "Bacterial small subunit ribosomal RNA", at positions 61 to 869 of the family's 1533-position model. The record is from RNAcentral.